GGGUUGUGAGGUUAAGCGACUAAGCGUACACGGUGGAUGCCCUGGCAGUCAGAGGCGAUGAAGGACGUGCUAAUCUGCGAAAAGCGUCGGUAAGGUGAUAUGAACCGUUACAGCCGGCGAUGUCCGAAUGGGGAAACCCAGUGCAAUUCGUUGCACUAUCGUUAACUGAAUACAUAGGUUAACGAGGCGAACCGGGGGAACUGAAACAUCUAAGUACCCCGAGGAAAAGAAAUCAACCGAGAUUCCCCCAGUAGCGGCGAGCGAACGGGGAGCAGCCCAGAGUCUGAAUCAGCUUGUGUGUUAGUGGAACGGUCUGGAAAGUCCGACGGUACAGGGUGAUAGUCCCGUACACCAAAAUGCACAGGCUGUGAACUCGAAGAGUAGGGCGGGACACGUGGUAUCCUGUCUGAAUAUGGGGGGACCAUCCUCCAAGGCUAAAUACUCCUGACUGACCGAUAGUGAACCAGUACCGUGAGGGAAAGGCGAAAAGAACCCCGGCGAGGGGAGUGAAAAAGAACCUGAAACCGUGUACGUACAAGCAGUGGGAGCACCUUCGGGUGUGACUGCGUACCUUUUGUAUAAUGGGUCAGCGACUUAUAUUCUGUAGCAAGGUUAACCGUAUAGGGGAGCCGCAGGGAAACCGAGUCUUAACUGGGCGUUAAGUUGCAGGGUAUAGACCCGAAACCCGGUGAUCUAGCCAUGGGCAGGUUGAAGGUUGGGUAACACUAACUGGAGGACCGAACCGACUAAUGUUGAAAAAUUAGCGGAUGACUUGUGGCUGGGGGUGAAAGGCCAAUCAAACCGGGAGAUAGCUGGUUCUCCCCGAAAGCUAUUUAGGUAGCGCCUCGUGAACUCAUCUUCGGGGGUAGAGCACUGUUUCGGCUAGGGGGUCAUCCCGACUUACCAACCCGAUGCAAACUACGAAUACCGAAGAAUGUUAUCACGGGAGACACACGGCGGGUGCUAACGUCCGUCGUGAAGAGGGAAACAACCCAGACCGCCAGCUAAGGUCCCAAAGUCAUGGUUAAGUGGGAAACGAUGUGGGAAGGCACAGACAGCCAGGAUGUUGGCUUAGAAGCAGCCAUCAUUUAAAGAAAGCGUAAUAGCUCACUGGUCGAGUCGGCCUGCGCGGAAGAUGUAACGGGGCUAAACCAUGCACCGAAGCUGCGGCAGCGACACUAUGUGUUGUUGGGUAGGGGAGCGUUCUGUAAGCCUGCGAAGGUGACCUGUGAGGGUUGCUGGAGGUAUCAGAAGUGCGAAUGCUGACAUAAGUAACGAUAAAGCGGGUGAAAAGCCCGCUCGCCGGAAGACCAAGGGUUCCUGUCCAACGUUAAUCGGGGCAGGGUGAGUCGACCCCUAAGGCGAGGCCGAAAGGCGUAGUCGAUGGGAAACAGGUUAAUAUUCCUGUACUUGGUGUUACUGCGAAGGGGGGACGGAGAAGGCUAUGUUAGCCGGGCGACGGUUGUCCCGGUUUAAGCAUGUAGGCUGAUUGUCCAGGCAAAUCCGGAUAAUCAAGGCUGAGGUGUGAUGACGAGGCACUACGGUGCUGAAGUAACAAAUGCCCUGCUUCCAGGAAAAGCCUCUAAGCAUCAGGUAACAUCAAAUCGUACCCCAAACCGACACAGGUGGUCAGGUAGAGAAUACCAAGGCGCUUGAGAGAACUCGGGUGAAGGAACUAGGCAAAAUGGUGCCGUAACUUCGGGAGAAGGCACGCUGGUGUGUAGGUGAAGUCCCUGCGGAUGGAGCUGAGACCAGUCGAAGAUACCAGCUGGCUGCAACUGUUUAUUAAAAACACAGCACUGUGCAAACACGAAAGUGGACGUAUACGGUGUGACGCCUGCCCGGUGCCGGAAGGUUAAUUGAUGGGGUUAUCCGUAAGGAGAAGCUCUUGAUCGAAGCCCCGGUAAACGGCGGCCGUAACUAUAACGGUCCUAAGGUAGCGAAAUUCCUUGUCGGGUAAGUUCCGACCUGCACGAAUGGCGUAAUGAUGGCCAGGCUGUCUCCACCCGAGACUCAGUGAAAUUGAACUCGCUGUGAAGAUGCAGUGUACCCGCGGCAAGACGGAAAGACCCCGUGAACCUUUACUAUAGCUUGACACUGAACAUUGAGCCUUGAUGUGUAGGAUAGGUGGGAGGCUUUGAAGCGUGGACGCCAGUCUGCGUGGAGCCAACCUUGAAAUACCACCCUUUAAUGUUUGAUGUUCUAACGUUGGCCCCUGACCGGGGUUGCGGACAGUGUCUGGUGGGUAGUUUGACUGGGGCGGUCUCCUCCCAAAGCGUAACGGAGGAGCACGAAGGUUAGCUAAUCCUGGUCGGACAUCAGGAGGUUAGUGCAAUGGCAUAAGCUAGCUUGACUGCGAGCGUGACGGCGCGAGCAGGUGCGAAAGCAGGUCAUAGUGAUCCGGUGGUUCUGAAUGGAAGGGCCAUCGCUCAACGGAUAAAAGGUACUCCGGGGAUAACAGGCUGAUACCGCCCAAGAGUUCAUAUCGACGGCGGUGUUUGGCACCUCGAUGUCGGCUCAUCACAUCCUGGGGCUGAAGUAGGUCCCAAGGGUAUGGCUGUUCGCCAUUUAAAGUGGUACGCGAGCUGGGUUUAGAACGUCGUGAGACAGUUCGGUCCCUAUCUGCCGUGGGCGCUGGAGAAUUGAGGGGGGCUGCUCCUAGUACGAGAGGACCGGAGUGGACGCAUCACUGGUGUUCGGGUUGUCAUGCCAAUGGCACUGCCCGGUAGCUAAAUGCGGAAGAGAUAAGUGCUGAAAGCAUCUAAGCACGAAACUUGCCCCGAGAUGAGUUCUCCCUGAGACUUUAAGUCUCCUGAAGGAACGUUAAAGACGAUGACGUUGAUAGGCCGGGUGUGUAAGCGCAGCGAUGCGUUGAGCUAACCGGUACUAAUGAACCGUGAGGCUUAACCUUACAACGCCGAAG
RNAcentral lists this ribosomal RNA (2923 nucleotides) under Klebsiella pneumoniae. RNAcentral describes it as "bacterial LSU rRNA". It matches the Rfam family "Bacterial large subunit ribosomal RNA". Lineage: Bacteria; Pseudomonadati; Pseudomonadota; Gammaproteobacteria; Enterobacterales; Enterobacteriaceae. The record is from RNAcentral.